AGCGAACGCUGGCGGCAGGCCUAACACAUGCAAGUCGAACGAACCUUUCGGGGUUAGUGGCGGACGGGUGAGUAACACGUGGGAACGUGCCUUUAGGUUCGGAAUAACUCAGGGAAACUUGUGCUAAUACCGAAUGUGCCCUUCGGGGGAAAGAUUAAUCGCCUUUAGAGCGGCCCGCGUCUGAUUAGCUAGUUGGUUGAGGUAAUGGCUCAUCAAGGCGACGAUCAGUAGCUGGUCUGAGAGGAUGAUCAGCCACAUUGGGACUGAGACACGGCCCAAACUCCUACGGGAGGCAGCAGUGGGGAAUCUUGCGCAAUGGGCGAAAGCCUGACGCAGCCAUGCCGCGUGAAUGAUGAAGGUCUUAGGAUUGUAAAAUUCUUUCACCGGGGACGAUAAUGACGGUACCCGGAGAAGAAGCCCCGGCUAACUUCGUG
This 434-nucleotide ribosomal RNA is filed under the name uncultured bacterium. Its description in RNAcentral is "partial 16S ribosomal RNA". It matches the Rfam family "Bacterial small subunit ribosomal RNA", at positions 29 to 507 of the family's 1533-position model. The record is from RNAcentral.